Molecule: ribosomal RNA, 790 nt
Filed under: uncultured bacterium
Lineage: Bacteria
Description: bacterial SSU rRNA
Rfam family: Bacterial small subunit ribosomal RNA
Source: RNAcentral
UACUCAGUGGCGGACGGGUGAGUAACACGUGGGAAUCUACCAUUAGAUGGGGAAUAACAGGCCGAAAGGACUGCUAAUGCCGCAUAUGUAUGUGCCUCGACAGGGGCGUAUAUGAAAGGAGUAAUCCGUCUGAUGAUGAGCCCGCGUCCGAUUAGCUAGUUGGUAAGGUAAAAGCUUACCAAGGCGACGAUCGGUAGGUGGUCUGAGAGGAUGAUCACCCACAAUGGGACUGAGACACGGCCCAUACUCCUACGGGAGGCAGCAGUGGGGAAUUUUACGCAAUGGGGGAAACCCUGACGUAGCGACACCGCGUGAGCGAAGAAGCCCUUUGGGGUGUAAAGCUCUGUCAACAGGAACGAAAAAAAUGACGGUACCUGUGGAGGAAGCAUCGGCUAACUACGUGCCAGCAGCCGCGGUAAGACGUAGGAUGCAAGCGUUGUCCGGAUUUAUUGGGCGUAAAGAGUUCGUAGGCGGUUUGUUAAGUCUGAUGUUAAAGACCGGGGCUCAACCUCGGAAAUGCAUUGGAUACUGGCAGACUGGAGUGCAGUAGAGGCUAGUGGAAUUCCCAGUGUAGCGGUGAAAUGCGUAGAUAUUGGGAAGAACACCGGUGGCGUAGGCGACUAGCUGGGCUGUAACUGACGCUGAGGAACGAAAGCCAGGGGAGCAAAUGGGAUUAGAUACCCCAGUAGUCCUGGCCGUAAACGAUGGAUACUAGGCGUAGUGGGUAUCGACCCCUGCUGUGCCGCAGCUAACGCGAUAAGUAUCCCGCCUGAGUAGUACGGCCGCAAGG